AAAAAGAGAAAAGAAAAAGACACGAUUCAAGUAAAAAUUGGCAGACUAGCAGGCAAAGAUAACUGGAAAUUCGUUUAGUAGUAGCAGUCAAGCGUCAAAUGUUAAAGAAAUGAGAAUUUAUAUUAGGAUUUUUGAAGCUUUCGACAUGAUUUGCUGACGUAGUUUUGUUAAAUUAUGAUUUGGAUUGUUGACAUAUUUUGGAAUAAUUUUAGUUUAGUUUAGAUAUAAAAUGAGGACAUGUGUUGUAAACUUGUUAAACCAUAGGUCAAUAAUGAUGAAACUAAUUUACUUUCUAUAAGUAUUUUAAUAGGUUGGUUGUAAGGCCCCGUUUGAGUCCCAUUAUUUCUCAUUACAUUAAAUUAAAUUUUUCUCUCUCCCACUUUUAACCACACAAUCUUCAAUAAAAUAAUAUUACACGUAAAUCAAAAACUUAGGGGGUGUUCUCUUUGUGUUUCAGUUUUGUGUUUUGAGUUUUGUAUUUUGAGUUUUUGUUUUGAAAUUGUUGAAAAUGCGUUCUUUUUG
This 522-nucleotide long non-coding RNA is filed under the name Olea europaea subsp. europaea. Lineage: Eukaryota; Viridiplantae; Streptophyta; Magnoliopsida; Lamiales; Oleaceae. The record is from RNAcentral.